RNAcentral lists this transfer RNA (73 nucleotides) under Cordylochernes scorpioides. Its description in RNAcentral is "tRNA-Thr". It matches the Rfam family "tRNA". Rfam says of the family: Transfer RNA (tRNA) molecules are approximately 80 nucleotides in length. Their secondary structure includes four short double-helical elements and three loops (D, anti-codon, and T loops). Lineage: Eukaryota; Metazoa; Arthropoda; Arachnida; Pseudoscorpiones; Chernetidae. The record is from RNAcentral.
UCCAGGGUAGCCUAGUGGACAUGGCAUCUGCCCGGUAAGCGGAACACUGUGGGUUCGAAUCCCAUCCCUGGAU